GACGAACGCUGGCGGCGUGCCUAAUACAUGCAAGUCGAACGAGAGCGACCGGUGCUUGCACUGGUCAAUCUAGUGGCGCACGGGUGAGUAACACGUGUGUAGCCUGCCCAUCAGAGGGGUAUAACAUUCGGAAACGGAUGCUAACACCGCAUAGGUCUUCGAACCGCAUGGUUUGAAGAGGAAAAGAGGCGCAAGCUUCUGCUGAUGGAUGGACCCGCGUUGCAUUAGCUAGUUGGUGAGGUAACGGCUCACCAAGGCCGUGAUGCAUAGCCGACCUGAGAGGGUGAUAGGCCACAUUGGGACUGAGACACGGACCAAACGCCUAAGGGAGGCAGCAGUAGGGAAUCUUCCGCAAUGGACGCAAGUCUGACGGAGCAACGCCGCGUGAGUGAAGAAGGUUUUCGGAUCGUAAAACUCUGUUGUUAGAGAAGAACAAGUGCUAGAGUAACUGUUAGCGCAUUGACGGUAGCUAAUCAGAAAGCCACGGCUAACUACGUG
This 498-nucleotide ribosomal RNA is filed under the name uncultured bacterium. RNAcentral describes it as "partial 16S ribosomal RNA". It matches the Rfam family "Bacterial small subunit ribosomal RNA", at positions 28 to 507 of the family's 1533-position model. The record is from RNAcentral.